Molecule: non-coding RNA, 165 nt
Organism: Macrostomum lignano
Lineage: Eukaryota; Metazoa; Platyhelminthes; Macrostomidae
Source: Rfam
GGGUAGGCAUUGUCAAGCGGCUACUUCGCAAACUCUGACUCAAAUUGGAUUACCGAUUGGAUCCGCGAGACCCAGGCGUCUAGUUGGUCUGACUUGCUUGGCAGUUCAACUGGAUCGUCUGCGCUCUCUCUCCGAAACUUGCUGCUGACGCUAUCCUACCUUUUU